Molecule: long non-coding RNA, 420 nt
Organism: Nicrophorus vespilloides
Lineage: Eukaryota; Metazoa; Arthropoda; Insecta; Coleoptera; Silphidae
Exons: 2
Source: RefSeq, a predicted model, not a curated record
UCAGCCGUAAUUGCUGUCGGUAUAAAUAACGGUCGUAAUAACAUAUCGGUUAUCAGUUUACUUCAACUCGAACGAAUUGUGUAAAAAGACAAACAAGAUGAGAUUCACCAUAUUGUGUCUAAUGAUUGUUGUGGUGUUCGCUGCAGCCAUGGCGAUGUCGCCAGAGGUGAUGAAAGCCCAGGAGCUUAUGAGAAAUGCGAAUAAGAUGCUAUCAGAACGUAUGAAGAUGAUGAAGGACAGUGAUAUGAUGAAAAUGUUCCGGAUGCGGAUGGAAGAUCCGAAUGCUGCUACGAAUUAACUGAUUAACUCUACCGUGCGUACGAAAAUUUGUAGAUUUGUAGCGACAGUAGAUAGUUUUUUUUUUGUAGAUUAGUGAAUGCAUUCAGAAAUGACAAAAAAAAUAAAUAAUACAAUACAUUA